Molecule: long non-coding RNA, 956 nt
Filed under: Paramuricea clavata
Lineage: Eukaryota; Metazoa; Cnidaria; Anthozoa; Malacalcyonacea; Plexauridae
Source: RNAcentral
AUUGGGCUAUUCCAUUUAAUAUCCGUACCCCCCCUGUUGAGGAUCCCUGGAAUUCUUCAGGGGUAAAGGGUUUUGAGCUUGGAAUUCUUCAGGGGUAAAGUGUUUUGAGCUUGGAAUUCUUCAGGGGUAAAGUGUUUUGAGCUUGGAAUUCUUCAGGGGUAAAGGGUUUUGAGCUUGGAAUUCUUCAGGGGGAAAGGGUUUUGAGCUUGGAAUUCUUCAGGGGUAAAGAGGUUUGACUUUGAUAUUUUUCAGAGCUUGGAAUUCUUCAGGGCUGAAGGGUUUUGAGCUUGGAAUUCUUCAGGGGUAAAAGGUUUUGAGCUUGGAAUUCUUCAGGGGUAAAAGGUUUUGAGCUUGGAAUUCUUCAGGGGUAAAGAGUUUUGAGCUUGGAAUUCUUCAGGGGUAAAGUGUUUUGAGCUUGGAAUUCUUCAGGGGUAAAGUGUUUUGAGCUUGGAAUUCUUCAGGGGUAAAGGGUUUUGAGCUUGGAAUUCUUCAGGGGGAAAGGGUUUUGAGCUUGGAAUUCUUCAGGGGUAAAGAGGUUUGACUUUGAUAUUUUUCAGAGCUUGGAAUUCUUCAGGGCUGAAGGGUUUUGAGCUUGGAAUUCUUCAGGGGUAAAAGGUUUUGAGCUUGGAAUUCUUCAGGGGUAAAAGGUUUUGAGCUUGGAAUUCUUCAGGGGUAAAAAGUUUAAGCUUGGAAUUCUUCAGGGGUAAAGGGUUUUGAGCUUGGAAUUCUUCAGGGGUAAAGGACUUUGAGCUUGGAAUUUUGGAAUUCUUCAGGGGUAAAUAGUUUUGAGCUUGGAAUUCUUCAGGGGUAAAGGAUUUUGAGCUUGGAAUUUUGGAAUUCUUCAGGGGUAAAGGGUUUUGAGCUUGGAAUUCUUCAGGGAUAUAACCACGAAAAACAUGUAUCCUCGACAGGGGGUGUACGGAUAUUAAAUGGAAUAGCCCAUUCUACAAACUCGC